This is an RNA transcript of Nerophis ophidion (straightnose pipefish), 7707 nucleotides long. It is a transcript of the gene named endonuclease 8-like 1, with no coding region annotated. The transcript is spliced from 3 exons. NCBI's taxonomy places the organism in Eukaryota, Metazoa, Chordata, Actinopteri, Syngnathiformes, Syngnathidae. The record is from RefSeq and is a predicted model, not a curated record.
AACAACUGAAAUCAUCCCGUCCUGCAGCAUGCACCUAUGUGAAUGUGGAGAAUGACCAGCAAUGUCCAAGUAAGUUAUAUGUAUAUGCCUGUUCUUUCUUGAAGUCAAUUAGUUCUGAUUGAGAUUUACAGAUAAAAAGCUGUCCACAGUUUGUCAGGAACAAACAUGAAAAUAUUGCUUUCUUUGACCCUGAUUACAUUAGCACAUAUGAAGAAUGAAACUUCAAAUAGGAGUUAUCUCAGCAUGUGUAAUUCAUGUUUUUGGAACCUUUCACCUCCAAGUUAAAGCUGGUAGGUAACAUCAGGUCAUGACUAAGGAUGUAACAAUAUCAACAUUUCACGGUAUGAUAUCGUCAUAGUGUUAAAGCCAGGGUAAGAUAUUGUUACAAAAAUGUCAAAGUGUGUUAAAUGACGUGGGAGGAAUGUUUAGGAUAAACACACUUACUGUAAUUGAACACAAACAUCAUUUUCAUAUGUUGUAAUCAUAUUUAUCAUUAAAAACAGGUAUUUUAGGUGCAAAGGAAUGGUGCAGAAUUUCAAGUAACACACAAAAACCAACAUUUUCAAAUAAGUGUCUUUAAACUGACAUAAACAGUAAACAUCCAGUGUAACUAAUGUAGAACAAUAAUGUUUCUUUUGCCAAGAAACUAUACUGUGUGUCCGGUAUGUUUUUUUUUCAAUACAACUUGGUAUUAUUGUGGGUUUGAUGACCUUUUUAGCACAUUCAACAAUACUGCCAUUAUAAUGCAAACAGUGAUCAUUUUGGUCACAGUAACGGUGAUAUGACAUUUUGAUAUUGUUACAUCACUGCUGUUUAGUUGAGUGUUUUUAAACUUUGAACUUCCUAAGAAACUGCCCUUUGCAGUCCAAAUUGUAUUAGUUUGUAGAAUACUGAUUCUUAAGAGUUAACUAAUAAUUUGACUUUUAAUCAUGUAAAUACCUCACAAAUGCAUAUUGUCCCUUGCUGACAUCUUGGUUUCACAUGAACGAUAUUUUCCAAAUAACGGUUCUAACAUAUAACUCAUUCUAAUAUAUUACUCCUAUUCCCUAACUUAUUGUAGACAUUGUGGUGUGUAGUGUCAGCAAAUGUCUUAUUUUGUGCAUGUCCACAUUUCCUCUGGUGAGCUGCAAGGGCUCUGGGUCGAUUUGGAAAUGGUCUGGAUGAACGUGGCAUGCUUUACCUUGCAGUAUGCAGACUUUGUUUAAGGUUCAACUAACACGACAGUUAUAGGCACAGAAAUAUUUCACAGCAACAAUUCCUCGGCUAACCUAAGCACAAACGUUCCCAUCACUCCUGCACACUUCCACUUUUUCGCCCUUCUAUAAUGUCCCGUUUGAACCUUGUUUUCCCACACGGCGGGUUUUCAUGGGAGAACCAGUUUACUUCUCAGAUGAGCCCACUUAAUAUUGUCAGAAAAAAACACAGCGACUGGUGUUCUCGUUUGAUAGCGUCACACAUCACGGCAUUAUUGUGACAAUUUUGAAAUCAAAAUAAGGUUAUAUUUACAAUAAUGUUGCAUCCCUCGUCAAGAUCCUUUCUCAUAGGUUUGGUUUGCUGUUGUGUAUUUACUAAUGAUUGGCAUUAGCAUCCACAACUUUCUUUUUAUAGUGUGUGUUGUAUUGUGAUGAGUUACAUUUAACACUGUGGAUGAUGUGUUACCACAAACACAGAAGAUACGUAAACAUGAACUACAAUGCGCUCAAGAUGUGGGGAAAAAGGAAAUGCAUUCCAUUAGCUGGAUUUGUAUAAUGUGUUCAAUUUAUGUCAACUUCCUUCUUGUUUUGCAUGUUUUUGUCUGGUUUUUUUUUUUUCAAUGAUUUGAAUCUUUAGAGUUUUUUGGUUCCUCUUCUUUGUGUCAGGGGGUAGCAGCAGGGUAACACUGCAUGAGGCGGUGCCCCCUGAAGGAGCCCAAAACACUGCUCUUCAAAUGGAACACAUCCAACCUUCAGGUGACCGUGCAGGAUGUACCACUCUGGAACAUCAAGCCUCUCCCCACCUGCCAGGUACACCCACCGUCUUCUGUGGCUGAAUAAUGUUUUGCUGUGAAUUUUGUCUCAAAGCAAAUCCUGCUCAAAUGUGACAAACUUUGGAGUGUAAGAAUGUGAGCGAUAUGCUGAGAUGUUAUACGUUUUGCCUUGUGACAAAAUGUUAUCAAAAACCUUUAGUGAUUUGUAUUCUAUUUUACUUUCAGCACAUGAAAAUAUUUCUACUUCUGACCAUCGAAGAGAAUGGAAAACCAUUUUCCAGAUCAGCCCUCAUACAUCCUCCUGAUGGCCUAACAACUGAAUGACAUGUCGAUGCUGAGUAUGAUCCAUUUCAAUCAUUUGAGGAAGCUCUCCCUGAUAUAGGGGAUUGGAUGUACAAUGACGGACAUACGUUUAAUGAAGGAUUUGAAGAUGGUUUGAGUGAGGAGUGUGCAGAAGAGUCCAAUUUCAAGGACACAACAGACAAACCAAUACAUGACAAUGCAUCAGAAACCAUGGCAGAGUGCCUUCUGAUCAGCAUGGGUUAUGUAAACUGUCCUAAAGUCACAGGUAAGGCCCUAAGCCAUAUGCUCAAAAUGUUCAAGUUGCUUUAUCCCGAUAGUCUGAACACAGACUGCUUAAACAGUGUGCAGAAGUUCCAAAACUUUUUUUUAUCCCACUCUGCAUCAUCGCCUACUAUAUUACAUAAAUCCUCCAAGAAUUGUUUUGGGCCAAUAGAAAGUAAACAAAUAAAAUGCCUGCUUUGUGGUACCAGUGUGUCAGAAGAAAGAUUCUCAUCCUUUUUUUAAAGUAUGUACAGAUUGAUUUCUUGUUUACCACAGCACAUUCAUGUGCCAAAUGGGCCCUCGUUGGUGAAUAUAAACAUGCAGGUUUUUCUUUGCUGCAAGAUAGUGUAACAUAUGAGACAUGCAGUCAUGUUAUUCCCCUAUUGGAAACCUCUGCAGUACAGUAGUAUUCUUGGAUGACAUAUUGGGUAAAGUUGUUUUCCUUGACUUCACAUCUAUGCCUGGCAUAGGGAUUGCAGUUCAUUUCCCCAACACACUUGAAAAGUUUGAAAUAAUGAAGAACUGAACUGGCCUAAGAAGCCACAAAUCAAAUCUUUAAUCAUUGUUAUAAAUGCUCUGAAAAUACACACUGAUGUGAUGUUGCCGUGGAUUCUGUAAAUAUGUACUGUAUAUGGAGUAUCAUUGUUGAUGAUGUUUUUGCAUUGUGUGUAAUAUUUCAGUGGCAAAUAUAUUACAUUUACUUGUUUAAUAAAGCCACUGUCCUUUUUAAUGAAUACAUAGGCCUACUAUGCUACUGUAUUUUAAUAUUAGUCCUUAUGAUGGUGGUUGAAGAGCCAAAUAUCUUCUGAAGUGGUACUUUGUUAAAAGAGUUUGAGAACCACUGCUCUAGAAAGUUCACAAAUGUUAAAAGCUCUUACAAAGUGUCUUGUGAUCAUAUCAGUAUUGUUUGGGUUCAGUUUUAAAUCUCACAAUUGUAGUCACUGAGUUACUGUACAUGACGUGUGGAUAAGAAAUCAACAAAUUAAGUCCAACUUUAUUUAAAUAAACCAUUUAGAUUACAGACCAUAUAUCCAUAUUGUCUGAAUUAAUUAUUUUCUCCCAAUGUUGGCAUGAGAUCAACUGGAAUAUGAUUGAGGUAUAACUAAAUUGAGCCCAUUAAAAUGCAUUUUUUUAGAAAACGGGUAUAUCUAACAACUCAAAUAGUGAGCAGUGAGAGACAAAACCAAGUAUAUCUCUCACUGAGACAUCAUUGAGACAUAUUGAAACCAAUACUCAUCAAUUGUCUUUUUGCCGAAAUAGAAAAGAGACAUCUGAGAACUCAAACAGUGAGUAGUGAGAAACAAAACCAGGUGUUUCUCUCACUGAGUCAUAAUUGAGACAUAUUGGAGACCAGCUCAUUCAUCUCUCAUUUUGGUCUUAGUUGAAAUGGGGAAAAGAGAUAACUAUUAGACAACUAUGAGAUCUCUCAUAGUGCUCACUGUGAGCCUUAUUUCUCAGGAGAUACAUUUGAGAAGAAUGAGAAAACUACUUUGGUCUCCAUUAGUGCUCUUUUAUGUCUAGGAGAUAGAUAUAAGACAUACAUGAGAUCUCAUCUUCAAUUUUGCUUUGCUAUGGGAAACAAGAGUUUGAUGAGCAUUCCUCAACUUUUUCGGUCUUUUUUGACACUCGUGCCAGCUUUUUUAAAGCAUGUUGCAGGCAUCAAAUUCCAAAAUGAGCUAAUAUUUGCAAAAAAAAAAGUUUCUCAGAUCCAACAUCAAAUAUCUUGUCUUUGCAGUCUAUUCAAUUGAAUAUAAGUUAAAAAGGAUUUACAAAUCAUUGUAUUCUGUUUUUAUUUACCAUUUACACAACGUGCUACUUCACUGGUUUGGGGUUUUGUACAUGUUGACAGUACAUUGCAGUGUUAUUUUGUUACAGCCGUGCCCACUGUGUGAAGUACUUUUGCAAGACUCCUAGCAAUAAUAAUACACUUCACCAAAGAGCCUGCUGUAAAAGAAAUGACCAUUGAAUGAAGAUACAUACUCAGGUCACCGUGAUCUGAAAAGGAGAGUGAAGAAUGUUUUUGUAUUCCCCAGAUUCUAAUCAUCUUGGAUGAAUAAACAAGCAAUUCCUAAUUUCACUUGGAAAUGUGUUUACUAUAAAAGUGUAGCACUGUUUCCACACAAAAUACCUUCUGUUUUUGAAAAGAUGCCCAUGUGUGUCUUCCAGGUUGAACAUUCCACCCUUUGUGCCUGCCCGGACUGUGCUGGAAGGCCUCGAGUCAGAGGAUGCGUGUGAAGACAAGAAAGCUGUAAAAAAGGAGAUCCAUAGCAAAAAGGUCAAAUAAGUACAAACAAGUAUUUUACCUCGAUUAUUAACAGUUUAUUUUGCCCAAAAAUGUUAAGGGAGCCAAAAAGGACAAAAUGGAAGAGGAGAAUACAGACCUGCUCAGACUUUGCCACACAGUACCGCUGGAGGUGGUGAACUUCGGUGGGAAAGGUUACGAUCCAGAGAAGAAAGACUACUCAGGUUUUGAGGCCUGGUUGCAGUGUUACUAUGUGGAUGGAAUGAAGUCUGUACGCGACCACAAUGGCAGGACUAUGUGGUUCAAAGUAUGCAAACACAUUUUCAUACGUAACAACUAUAUUUGUAGCAUGUAUUGACUAAUAGAAAAUGGUGUCAUUUCAGGGCGAUCCAGGUCCUAUGGCUCCUAAAGGUAAACGCCAGAAAAAAUAGUUGAGAUACCAUUACACAUAAGAGAAAGCUUAGUGUGUCUUUAUCUUUUCUCACACACCAGAAUCAAAGUCUCCAAAGGCCAAAAAGAGAAAAGAUACAGAUGCAGACCAUGAUUACCCCCGCAAGAAAAAGGUAUAUUCAGUAGGUAAUCACCACCAGCACAUAGAAAUCUAACCCCAUUGUGGCUGUACUUCAGGUGUCCAGGAAACACAACUCUGACAGCACAGUGAAGAAAAAAGCAGCCAAAAAGCCCACAAAAGCAGCAAAGGAAGAAGAAAAUGGACCUCAAGAAGAAGCCACACCCAGAAGAAGAUCAGCAAACACACCUCAGCAAGAACCGAAAUCCACGUCAGGCAGGAGGAAAAAGAACAAUACAGAGCCAGCUGCAGGUCUGAUUCUAAUAAUACUCCCAUUUUCUGAAAAUAUUAAGAGCCUGAUCUUUGAGGAUCCAAUUCCCACACACUUAUCUGUGUGCGCAAACUAUAAAAUUGCAUGUACUGUUGGUGGACGUGUUGUAUGUGAUCUACUUUGUGCAAUUGAUAGCAGCAAAAGUGGCACAGAUCACCCUAUUUUUGUGUACUAGAAGCAUUAUGUGCCCUUGGAAACACUUCUUUCCCUCUACAUUCAUGUUAUUAUGCUCUCCACACUGGAGGGGGGCUUAUAUUAGAUUAUAGCACAUAUCGAUCAUCUAACACCUUUUCUGCAAUAUAGAAUCACAGAAUGUAUACUAUUUGCAGCAGGAAUGAUCAAACUGCAUAUUGCAAGACAUUUUUUUUAGGAGUUAUACUAAAUACAAAAAAAAAAACGCAACGCUUUUGUUCUUGUUCCCAAUUUGAAUGAACUCAAAGAUCGAAAACUUUGACUAUAAACACAAAAUACCUGUUCCUCUCAAAUAUUGUUCACAAAUCUGUAUACAUUUUUUAAUGAGCAUUUUUUCUUUGCCAAGAUAAUCCAUCCCACCUGACAGGUGUGCCUUGAGCUGUCCAAAAUAAAAGGCCACUGUGAAAUGUGCAGUUUUAUCACACAACACAAUGCUUCAGAUGUCGCAAGUUUUGAGGGAGCGUGCAGUAGGCAUGCUGACUGCAGCAAUGUCCACCAGAGCUGUUGCCCGUCAAUUAAAUGUUUAUUUCUCCGCCAUAAGAAUAGAAUAGAAUAGAAAGUACUUUAUUGAUCCCUGGGGGAAAUUCAGCACCACAGUUCGCUCACAAUAAACAAUGAUAAUAAUAAAUAAUAUAAUAUAUAUGAAUAAUAUAAAUAUAUUCUACAUUUAAGUGCAGUCAAGGAACAUAUGCAUUAUACAGUCGGAUGGCUGUCGGUGUGAAGGACCUCCUGUGUCGUUCCGUGUUGCAUUUUGGGAGUCUGAGCCUUCCACUGAAUGUGCUCAUUCUCUCUGCAAGGUCCGAGUGUAGUGGGUGGGAGGUGUUGUCCAUAAUGGCUAGGAGUUUUGCUAGACUUCUCUCUGACACCACCGCCAGAGAGUCCAGCUCCACUCCCAUCUUGUUACUGGCCUUCUCUACCAACUUGUCCAGUCUGUAUGUGUCCCUCACUCUCAGCCCACUGCCCCAGCAGGCCACGGCGUACAAGAGGGCGCCUGCCACCAGCGACUCGUAGAACAUCUUCAACAUCUUUGUACAGACGUUGAAGGAUCCUAGCCUCCAAAGGAAAUAUAGAUUCGGCUCUGUCCCUUCUUGUAGAGGGCCUCAGCGUGUUUUGACCCAUUCAGCUUGUUGUCCAUGUGUACUCCGAGGUAUUUAUAAUCCUCUACCAUGUACACAUCCACCCCUUUGAUGGAAACAGGGGUCGCCAGAGUACUCCUCCUCCUUCCCAGGUCCACAACCAGCUCCUUGGUCUCCGUAACAUUGAGCUGGAGGUGGUUCUUUCCACACCAUGUGACAAAGUCCUCCACCAGUGUCCUGUAUUCCUCGUCAUCACCUUCCUCAAUACACCCCACUAUCGCAGAGUCAUCAGAAAACUUCUGAAGGUGGCAGGACUCUGACUGAUAGUGGAAAUGGGUGGUGUAAAUGGUGUAGAGGAAGGGGGAAGAGUACUGUAGCCUCCGGGGCCCCGGUGUUGCUGACCAGCCUGUCAGACACACAGUCCUGCAGUGGCAUAUACUGUGGUCUGUCAGUCAGGUAAUCUACAACCCAGGACACCAAGGGGGCCUCCACCUGCAUCUUCUCCAACUUCCCACCCAGUAGCCCAGGCCGUUUAGUAUAAGCCGCCUCCAAAGGUGUUUCAGAGAAUUUGGCAAUACAUCCAACUGGCCUCACAGCCGCAGACCAUAUUGAUUGGCUGAGACCUGCCACCCGGACAGCUGCUACAACAAUUGGUUUGCUUAACCAUAGCAUUUCUGCACAAACUGUAAGAAACUACCAUGAAUUGAUUAACGUGGACCCCGACUUAAACAAGUUGAAAAACGUAUUGGGGUGUUACCAAUUAGUGGUCAAUUGUACGGAAUAUGUACUGAACUGUGCAAUCUACUAAUAAAAGUAUCAAUCAAUCAA